UACCAGACUCCUACGGGAGGCAGCAGUGGGGAAUAUUGCACAAUGGGGGGAACCCUGAUGCAGCGACGCCGCGUGGGUGAAGGAGCGUUUCGGCGCGUAAAGCCCUAUCGGCAGGGAAGAAGGAGGACGGUACCUGACUAAGAAGCCCCGGCUAACUACGUGCCAGCAGCCGCGGGAAUACGUAGGGGGCAAGCGUUAUCCGGAUUUACUGGGUGUAAAGGGAGCGUAGACGGCAGUGCAAGUCCGGAGUGAAAGCCCGGGGCUCAACCCUGGGACUGCUCUGGAAACUGUACGGCUGGAGUGCAGGAGAGGUAAGUGGAAUUCCUAGUGUAGCGGUGAAAUGCGUAGAUAUUAGGAGGAACACCAGUGGCGAAGGCGGCUUACUGGACUGUAACUGACGUUGAGGCUCGAAAGCGUGGGGAGCAAACAGGAUUAGAUACCCCAGUA
RNAcentral lists this ribosomal RNA (447 nucleotides) under uncultured bacterium. RNAcentral's name for it is "partial 16S ribosomal RNA". It matches the Rfam family "Bacterial small subunit ribosomal RNA", at positions 329 to 792 of the family's 1533-position model. The record is from RNAcentral.